GGAUUACAACCAAAUUCCCAUUAGCAAUCGCUGAAGGACUUUCCUGAGGUGGAGAUGGAGGGUCAAGAGCAGUGUGGACAGAUUAGGGUUGUGAAGAUUGAAUCAAUGGAAUCGUGGAAUUUCUACUUGACCAAAGCCACUCAUCAAGACUCUCUUAUUGUUGUGCACUUCACUGCUUCUUGGUGUAUGCCUUCGGUUGCCAUGAAUCCAUUCUUUGAAGAACUAGCAUUUACCUACCCGGAUGUUAUGUUUCUCACUGUCGAUGUUGAUGAGGUUAAGGAAGUGGCUGCUAAACUGGAGAUAAAGGCAAUGCCAACUUUCUUGGUGAUGAAAAAUGGUACUCAGAUUGACAAGCUUGUGGGUGCAAAUCCAGAAGAGAUAAGGAAAAGGAUAAGCGCAUAUUUUGAGGCUAUACAUGUUGCAUAAUGUAAUGUUUUUAUGGUUGGUGGUGAUGUAUAUUUUGGUGUUGUAAUAUAUGGUUGUGGUUUUUGCAUCAGAUGGAGACAAGGUGCUGGCUUGGCUCUUAUUUAUGUGGUUUCACUAUCUCAUCAUGUAAAUUCAAGUUUUUUUGAACUGUUUUGCAUUCUGUUUAAUUAAAUCUACCAUGAUGUUAUUA
Molecule: unclassified non-coding RNA, 616 nt
Filed under: Hevea brasiliensis (rubber tree)
Lineage: Eukaryota; Viridiplantae; Streptophyta; Magnoliopsida; Malpighiales; Euphorbiaceae
Source: RNAcentral